Molecule: small nucleolar RNA, 90 nt
Organism: Cottoperca gobio
Lineage: Eukaryota; Metazoa; Chordata; Actinopteri; Perciformes; Bovichtidae
Source: Ensembl
GAUCUCUUGUGAUGUAUAGCACUGGGCUCAGAAAAUCAGUGAUGAAAGAAGUGCAGCUCUGCCCCUGACAAGGCAGACUCUGAGGAGACU